This is a long non-coding RNA of Ficedula albicollis (Collared flycatcher), 366 nucleotides long. RefSeq lists it as uncharacterized. The record is from RefSeq and is a predicted model, not a curated record. The transcript is spliced from 3 exons. NCBI's taxonomy places the organism in Eukaryota, Metazoa, Chordata, Aves, Passeriformes, Muscicapidae.
CAAAAGUUUGAAUGCAUGCAAAACUGAAGAUUUUUUAUAAGUUGAUCGUCUUGAGUCCUGCAGAUUCUGUUCAAUGAAAAGUCAGAUUUAUAUGUGCAUAGAGACAUCUGUUCUACAUGGCUCUCCACCUUGGCUGCAGUUCAAUUUUCACUGACUUCCAUGAACUCCGUUAUGAAACCCAAGUGCAAUCCUCUCUUUGCACCAGGAUCAGCCUGUGACUCCUGAACACAGACCUGCAGCUUACAGAUGCCCUCAGCCACCUCUCCCGAAGCACAUGGCUAUGUUCAUCCCAGAAAUGAGAGAAGGCUUGAGGAGAAAACCUGCAAGACAGUGAGUGAGUACCAGUGUUAGAAAUAUUGCCUGACA